GGCGCUAUAGCCAAGUGGUUACGGCGACAGAUUCGAAUGAUUGUUAUCUGUUCCUCUUUGAGGGCGCAGGUUCAAAUCCUGCUGGCGUCG
RNAcentral lists this transfer RNA (90 nucleotides) under Lentinula boryana. RNAcentral describes it as "tRNA-Ser". It matches the Rfam family "tRNA". From Rfam's summary of the family: Transfer RNA (tRNA) molecules are approximately 80 nucleotides in length. Their secondary structure includes four short double-helical elements and three loops (D, anti-codon, and T loops). Lineage: Eukaryota; Fungi; Basidiomycota; Agaricomycetes; Agaricales; Omphalotaceae. The record is from RNAcentral.